This 74-nucleotide unclassified non-coding RNA is filed under the name Flavobacterium chilense. RNAcentral's name for it is "Flavo-1 RNA". Lineage: Bacteria; Pseudomonadati; Bacteroidota; Flavobacteriia; Flavobacteriales; Flavobacteriaceae. The record is from RNAcentral.
CUCUUGCGUGAGUGAUGGAAGUGGAGCUCUCCCGAUUUUUCAUCGGGAAGCGGGAACGGACAGCACGACCCAGA